GUUUGAUCCUGGCUCAGGGCGAAUGCUAGCGGUGCGCCUAACACAUGCAAGUCGAGCGAAAAAUCUUUCUAGCUUGCUAGGAGGAUGGAAAGCGGCGAACGGGUGAGUAACACGUUGAUAUUUGCCCCCAGGUCAGGGAUAGUCCACUGAAAAGUGGUUUAAUACCGGAUAGUCUCUUCGGAGUAAAGAUUUAUCGCCUGGGGAGAAGUCUGCGUUCUAUCAGCUAGUUGGUGAGGUAAUAGCUCACCAAGGCUAUGACGGAUAGUUGAUCUGAGAGGAUGAUCAGCCACAAUGGAACUGAGACUCGGUCCAUACUCCUACGGGAGGCAGCAGUGAGGAAUCUUCCACAAUGGACGAAAGUCUGAUGGAGCGACACCGCGUGAAGGAUGAAGGCCUAACGGUUGUAAACUUCUUUUCUGGAGGAGCAUAAUGAGAGUACUUCAGGAAUAAGGGGCGGCUAAUCACGUGCCAGCAGCCGCGGUAAUACGUGAGCCCCAAGCAUUGCCCGGAAUCACUGGGUGUAAAGGGUUCGUAGGCGGGGAUACAAGUUGGAUAUGAAAGACCGAGGCUCAACCUCGUGUUGGUAUUCAAAACUGUAUUCCUAGAAUUAGGGAGAGGUUAGCGGAAUUCUGAGUGUAGGGGUGCAAUCCGUAGAUACUCAGAGGAACACCAAAAGCGAAGGCAGCUAACUGGAACUAUAUUGACGCUGAGGAACGAAAGCGUGGGUAGCGAAAAGGAUUAGAUACCCUUGUAGUCCACGCCCUAAACGAUGAUAACUAAGUGUUGCACAUUGGUGCAGUGCUGAAGCUAACGCGUUAAGUUAUCCACCUGAGGAGUACGGUCGCAAGAUUAAAACUCAAAGGAAUAGACGGGGACCCACACAAGCAGUGGAUCACGUGGUUUAAUUCGACAAUAAACGGGGAACCUUACCCAGACUUGACAUCCUAAGAAUCUUCUAGAGACAGAAGAGUGCCUUUAUUGGAACUUAGUGACAGGUGCUGCAUGGUUGUCGUCAGCUCGUGCCUUGAGGUGUUCGGUUAAGUCCGUUAACGAGCGUAACCCAUGUCUUUAGUUAUUAUGUCUAAAGAGACUGCCUUGGUUAACAAGGAGGAAGGUGUGGAUGACGUCAAAUCAGCAUGGCUUUUACGUCUGGGGCUACACACAUGAUACAAUGGUUUAUACAAAGGGCAGCGAUACCGUAAGGUGGAGCGAAUCCCAUAGAGUAAAUCUAAGUCCGGAUUGAGGUCUGCAACUCUACCUCAUGAAGUUGGAAUUGCUAGUAAUCGUGAAUCAGAUAUGUCACGGUGAAUGUGUUCCUGGGUCUUGUACUCACCGCCCGUCAUGGCAUGGAAGGCAGUAAUAUUGGAAGCUCCCGAAGUAAUAUCGGGGUCCAUAGUAGGACUGCUGACUGGGCUAAAGUCGUAACAAGGUAGCCG
RNAcentral lists this ribosomal RNA (1436 nucleotides) under uncultured bacterium. RNAcentral's name for it is "bacterial SSU rRNA". It matches the Rfam family "Bacterial small subunit ribosomal RNA". The record is from RNAcentral.